Molecule: non-coding RNA, 91 nt
Filed under: uncultured Mamiellales
Lineage: Eukaryota; Viridiplantae; Chlorophyta; Mamiellophyceae; Mamiellales
Source: RNAcentral
CGCGAUAUUGGAUCCGCCUGCUGUUGGGAGCCCAACAGUCAGUGAGACCAGCACAGCCGCUGCCAGUGAGAGCAGUGCAGCCACGGCGAAG